Molecule: ribosomal RNA, 429 nt
Filed under: Gemmatimonadota bacterium
Lineage: Bacteria; Pseudomonadati; Gemmatimonadota
Description: Gemmatimonadetes bacterium partial 16S ribosomal RNA
Rfam family: Bacterial small subunit ribosomal RNA
Source: RNAcentral
UAGGGAAUCUUCGGCAAUGGACGAAAGUCUGACCGAGCAACGCCGCGUGAGUGAAGAAGGUUUUCGGAUCGUAAAACUCUGUUGUUAGAGAAGAACAAGGACGUUAGUAACUGAACGUCCCCUGACGGUAUCUAACCAGAAAGCCACGGCUAACUACGUGCCAGCAGCCGCGGUAAUACGUAGGUGGCAAGCGUUGUCCGGAUUUAUUGGGCGUAAAGCGAGCGCAGGCGGUUUCUUAAGUCUGAUGUGAAAGCCCCCGGCUCAACCGGGGAGGGUCAUUGGAAACUGGGCGACUUGAGUGCAGAAGAGGAGAGUGGAAUUCCACGUGUAGCGGUGAAAUGCGUAGAUAUAUGGAGGAACACCGGUGGCGAAGGCGGCUCUCUGGUCUGUAACUGACGCUGAGGCUCGAAAGCGUGGGGAGCAAACAGG